ACGAACGCUGGCGGCGCGCCUAACACAUGCAAGUCGAACGGAGCUGAGAGAAGCUUGCUUUUCUUAGCUUAGUGGCGAACGGGUGAGUAACGCGUGAGUAACCUGCCCUGGAGUGGGGGACAACAGUUGGAAACGACUGCUAAUACCGCAUAAGCCCACGAUCCGGCAUCGGAUUGAGGGAAAAGGAUUUAUUCGCUUCAGGAUGGACUCGCGUCCAAUUAGCUAGUUGGUGAGGUAACGGCCCACCAAGGCGACGAUUGGUAGCCGGACUGAGAGGUUGAACGGCCACAUUGGGACUGAGACACGGCCCAGACUCCUACGGGAGGCAGCAGUGGGGGAUAUUGCACAAUGGGGGAAACCCUGAUGCAGCGACGCCGCGUGGAGGAAGAAGGUUUUCGGAUUGUAAACUCCUGUCGUUAGGGACGAUAAUGACGGUACCUAACAAGAAAGCACCGGCUAACUACGU
This 466-nucleotide ribosomal RNA is filed under the name uncultured bacterium. RNAcentral's name for it is "partial 16S ribosomal RNA". It matches the Rfam family "Bacterial small subunit ribosomal RNA", at positions 29 to 506 of the family's 1533-position model. The record is from RNAcentral.